CUUGGUUCAUCUGGGCAUGCUCAGGUAAUAUGACCUUCAACCUGGGGGUCCAUGGCAACUGAAAAACAACUCACAAUAUUGCUACGUAAAAGUUGAACCAGAUUGGUGUGAUGCAGUUACAACACAAAGAAGAAGACCGACAUGAAUACUUGACUCCUGUAGCUUCUGGUAUCCUCAUCCUCCCAGAUCCUGACAUUAGGCUGAACAUCUGUGCUGGAUUUAGAGGUGGUGUAUUCUCACCUUUUAAGUAAUGGAUAUUUUAGUGAAAAGGUGGUAUCAGGGCCUGCUGUCUAGAUGCCAUUUUUAGGAAGAAGUGUCAGAAAGUUUUUAAGACUGCAAGGAAAGAGAACACUCUCAGGGGGUUGAUACCAACAGGGGUGGAAGUCAAAAUGAGGACAAAGUGAGGCCCUGAGCGUCAGAGAUCAAGGCCAAGAGGGCAUAGCAGAGGGAAUCCAGUUCCAGACAGGCUUGCAGUGCUAUGGAGAUAUAAAGUUCAAGAACACAACAUGCGUGCUUUCGAGGAGCGUAUCAUUAUUCAGGAAGUCAAGACACCAGUGAAUGAAAAGAAAACUCACUUUCUGCAAUAGCGCAAAAGAGCAGUGAAGAUGGUGCUCAGAUGAACUGUAAGUGUUCAGAUGAGGGAAACCAUGGAAGACAUCAUGGAGGAGAUUUCUUCUGUUCCUGGUAGAAUUGUGAGAUGCUGCAUCUGCGUUCCAGCUUUCAAGAAUAUAAUCUAUCAUCUGAAAACUUAAAGUCUUUUUUUAAAAAAAUUAGAUCAAAGCAGAGAGAAAAUGAUCUUCAAGUUUCUUUACCAAACUUGGUAUGUUCUUUUGGACUGAAAACUGAUGGAGUUGGAAGUGACUUUUGUAGUGAAAAUGAGGCUGGAGUAAUUAAUAUUGUUCCAGUGUUCUGGUUAUGCGCAGGAGUGAAUCAUGAUACCCAAAUUACAAUGACUCAUCUCUUCUGAGAGAAUAAAUUGUGAUUCUAUGAAA
Long non-coding RNA from Homo sapiens (human), 992 nucleotides. RefSeq lists it as uncharacterized. The record is from RefSeq and is a predicted model, not a curated record. Lineage: Eukaryota; Metazoa; Chordata; Mammalia; Primates; Hominidae. The transcript is spliced from 3 exons.